GACGAACGCUGGCGGCGUGCUUAACACAUGCAAGUCGAACGGAAAGGCCCUGCUUUUGUGGGGUGCUCGAGUGGCGAACGGGUGAGUAACACGUGAGUAACCUGCCCUUGACUUUGGGAUAACUUCAGGAAACUGGGGCUAAUACCGGAUAGGAGCUCCUGCUGCAUGGUGGGGGUUGGAAAGUUUCGGCGGUUGGGGAUGGACUCGCGGCUUAUCAGCUUGUUGGUGGGGUAGUGGCUUACAAAGGCUUUGACGGGUAGCCGGCCUGAGAGGGUGACCGGCCACAUUGGGACUGAGAGACGGACCAGACUCCUACGGGAGGCAGCAGGGGGGAAUAUUGCACAAUGGGCGGGAGCCUGAUGCAGAAACGCCGCGUGCGGGAUGACGGCCUUCGGGUUGUAAACCAAUUUGGCAUGUGACGAAGCGUGAGUGACGGUAAUGGGUAAAGAAGCACCGGCUAACUACGUG
This 468-nucleotide ribosomal RNA is filed under the name uncultured bacterium. RNAcentral describes it as "partial 16S ribosomal RNA". It matches the Rfam family "Bacterial small subunit ribosomal RNA", at positions 28 to 507 of the family's 1533-position model. The record is from RNAcentral.